Molecule: long non-coding RNA, 790 nt
Filed under: Homo sapiens (human)
Lineage: Eukaryota; Metazoa; Chordata; Mammalia; Primates; Hominidae
Description: HSALNT0398431
Source: RNAcentral
CCUAACGGUAUCGAGCGAGCCGGUUGUAGACGUGGUCCAGGUUUCUGCACAGGAAUAUCGAGAGCGUCAUGAACCCGAGCUAUAGAGAAAGGAGAUGAGGUCAGAGAAGUCGAAGGGGUGCUGGCGAGACGGGGGUGAUGCCCACCCGGGCGAGAAAGGCCCCGCCCCAUUCGACAGGUUUAUGCUCCGAACCCCUGCCCACCUCGCGGUAGAUGUGGCUCUCUGCAGGGACAGCGCAGAUGUCUGCACUGUGUCUGGACCGCGCCAGGUGUCCAAGCCUGCUGAGCUGGGGCAAGAUCACCUUAUCUAGGAUUGUGGAGUCGUUGGUCGCCGACAAGUUGUAGCAGGAGCAGGGCACGCGGUGCGCCUCCGACCCGUUACCUCUCAGGAUGAGGACUUGGAACCAGUCCUGCGGGUAGUGCCAGCCGCAGCAGCGCAGCUGGGAGAGGGAUACGAGUCAGAGGGACCGGGACUGGAGACAUAUGAUGUUGGGGAUCAGGGGACAAGGUGAUGGGUAUGAGGUCAGGUCGGGGAGCAGGGGACUAAGUGGUGGGUGUGGAGUGGGGGACAGUGGGCUGGGGUCACGAUGGGGCCGGAGCCAGGGGACAUUACGGGAACAUGGGGCUGGGAAAGACGAGUCACGGGGUGACCUGGGGCUGGGGAAGGAGCUGCAGGGUCGCGCUGUGGACUAGAGAUUGGGUGGGUGGUGCAAUUGAGCCUCUGAUACCCGACAGGUGAAUAGGAGUGCGAGACCAUGUGAGUCUCAUCGGGGGCGGGGUCCGGUGGAAGC